CAUGGGGUUAACUGUUCAUAAUUAAAUACAAGACUAGUUGUCGAAAAUGGUAAUGAUCCCAAGGUCAAACAAUGAUAAGCUGUCACAAGGUUCAAAACAGUUGAAAUUGACAACAUAACAGUGGAAGGUGAAAAAAAGAAAGGGCGCAAAAAAUAAAAAAAAAAUCCCCAUUUUGCUAUUUUGGCCCAGAAGCUUGCCUGCAAAAAGAGGGAAAAGGAAAGUAAAUAGCGAGACAAGCAAAGAAAUAUCUUUCUUUCACCAAUAUAUAGUUAAUAGCUAGCCAGCCACACAACCACUUCAUGAUUCGUUUCAGUACAUCAAUAAAACAGAGCACGACGACAAGCACAACGAGGGGAAAUAAGGAGGUAAUCCCAGAAUUCCUCAUGACAUUUAUCUGGUUUUUAAUGCCAGGCCACAUCACAUAUGCAAGACACCCAUACCCAAUUAUCACUAUAAGAUUUAGAACAAGAGUAUGUCUUCCAUCUUCAUCACCUCCAAAUUAGGGCAGGAAACAGGGAUAAAGACUGAAACUGACGAAAUUAGGAGAAGAGAGUUCGCGAAGUAGAGAUAGACAUAUUUCUAGAGUUGCUACGAGCAAUCAAAGCCUACAGGAGAUCAAGAUCAAAGAAGAUGGAACUUCAGAAAUCAG
This 649-nucleotide unclassified non-coding RNA is filed under the name Hevea brasiliensis (rubber tree). The record is from RNAcentral. Lineage: Eukaryota; Viridiplantae; Streptophyta; Magnoliopsida; Malpighiales; Euphorbiaceae.